GCAUAUCAUAGCGGAGGAAAAAGAAACCAACAGGGAUUGCCCUAGUAACGGCGAGUGAAGCGGCAACAGCUCAAAUUUGAAAUCUGGCUCUUCAGAGUCCGAGUUGUAAUUUGCAGAGGGCGCUUUGGCUUUGGCAGCGGUCCAAGUUCCUUGGAACAGGACGUCACAGAGGGUGAGAAUCCCGUACGUGGUCGCUAGCUAUUGCCGUGUAAAGCCCCUUCGACGAGUCGAGUUGUUUGGGAAUGCAGCUCUAAAUGGGAGGUAAAUUUCUUCUAAAGCUAAAUAUUGGCCAGAGACCGAUAGCGCACAAGUAGAGUGAUCGAAAGAUGAAAAGCACUUUGGAAAGAGAGUCAAACAGCACGUGAAAUUGUUGAAAGGGAAGCGCUUGCAGCCAGACUUGCUUGCAGUUGCUCAUCCGGGCUUUUGCCCGGUGCACUCUUCUGUAGGCAGGCCAGCAUCAGUUUGGGCGGUGGGAUAAAGGUCUCUGUCACGUACCUCUCUUCGGGGAGGCCUUAUAGGGGAGACGACAUACCACCAGCCUAGACUGAGGUCCGCGCAUCUGCUAGGAUGCUGGCGUAAUGGCUGUAAGCGGCCCGUCUUGAAACACGGACCAAGGAGUCUAACAUCUAUGCGAGUGUUUGGGUGUCAAGCCCGAGCGCGUAAUGAAAGUGAACGGAGGUGGGAACCCGCAAGGGUGCACCAUCGACCGAUCCUGAAGUUUACGGAAGGAUUUGAGUAAGAGCAUGGCUGUUGGGACCCGAAAGAUGGUGAACUAUGCUUGAAUAGGGUGAAGCCAGAGGAAACUCUGGUGGAGGCUCGCAGCGGUUCUGACGUGCAAAUCGAUCGUCAAAUUUGGCAUAGGGCGAAAGACUAAUCGA
RNAcentral lists this ribosomal RNA (878 nucleotides) under Bipolaris sorokiniana. RNAcentral describes it as "LSU rRNA". It matches the Rfam family "Eukaryotic large subunit ribosomal RNA", at positions 38 to 938 of the family's 3401-position model. The record is from RNAcentral. Lineage: Eukaryota; Fungi; Ascomycota; Dothideomycetes; Pleosporales; Pleosporaceae.